Astatotilapia calliptera (eastern happy) is the source of this 1208-nucleotide long non-coding RNA. The record is from Ensembl. Lineage: Eukaryota; Metazoa; Chordata; Actinopteri; Cichliformes; Cichlidae.
AUAAAAUCUGUUGCUUAGUCUGUUAGUUUCAGGUAGACAUUCAAACAGUACAUGACCAGGGUGAGCUGGGUCUUGAAGGAUUCGAUUAAUGUUCUUGAGACAAUGGGAGCUGUGCAAUUUUUCAAGUGAGGGGAGAGGACAGCUGACUAUCUGCUAGGCCAGCGGUCCCCAACCUUUUUUGUGCCACGGACCAGUUUAUGUCCGACAAUAUUUUCACGGACUGGCCUUUAAGGUGUCGAGGAUAAAUACAACAAAAUAAAACCAGUACCGGUACCAAAAAAAGGAAGAUUUAUUCAUAACACACAGGGAAAGACCCAGGGUAACCCAGUUAACGAUAAAAAUGAUGAAAAAAAAAGAAGAUAAAACUGAUAAAAACCAUGAAAACCAUAAACUUCACACCUGAGUCUCAACUCUCGCGGCUAGGUACCAAAUGACUCACGGACCGGCCCCGGCAGCGAUAAGAGGACACCAACAGUUUCUCAGGGAUGUUGUUCUGUCUGAGAACCCUCAGAAAGUAGUUUCUUUCUUUCUUUCUUUCUUUCUUUCUUUCUUUCCAACCUCAGUAGUGUGUGUUUGGCAAGUCUGGUCCUUCCUGCUAUUGACUCCCAAGAAGCAGAAGUCUGAGACUCUUGCCAUACAGACCCUGUUGAUGGUGACUGGCAGGAUGUCAUCUGCAACAAGUUCCUUGGUCUUUACGGUGUUCAGGAGCAAGUUGUUGUCCACGCUGUCAGCCACUGGGCCAUAGGCAGAUGCAUCCCCCCCAGAAAUUUGUCCUCAGGCUACAAUCAGUCUUACGGUCAGUAAGACUAAAAUAGUGCUUCUACUUAGAAAAAUCCAACAUUUCACUUCCUUAGUCACUUCCUCAUUUUAUGUUCCACUUCUAUUUUUAUUUAAAAGGGAGUUGUUCCAUCUUUGCUGGAUUGCUCUGCUCGUUUCUCUGCUGGAGAAACUCUUGCUGGAGAGCAGUGGGCUGGUUUGUGUUCUUAGAAGAGAAUCUGUGUGGACUUGUGGAAAACACUAACUUGUAGUGGUCAAUAACAAAAAUACAACUCAAUACUUUGUAACAUAACCUUUGUUGGCAAUAACAGAGGUCAAACGUUUACUAUAGGUCUUUACCAGGUUUGCACACACAGUAGCUGGUAUUUUGGCCCAUUCCUCCAUGCAGAUCUUCUCGAGAGCAGUGGGGUCAUUCUUACUAUUCGGUGCCA